Molecule: ribosomal RNA, 540 nt
Filed under: Bifidobacterium bifidum
Lineage: Bacteria; Bacillati; Actinomycetota; Actinomycetes; Bifidobacteriales; Bifidobacteriaceae
Description: bacterial SSU rRNA
Rfam family: Bacterial small subunit ribosomal RNA
Source: RNAcentral
GGGUGGUAAUGCCGGAUGUUCCACAUGAUCGCAUGUGAUUGUGGGAAAGAUUCUAUCGGCGUGGGAUGGGGUCGCGUCCUAUCAGCUUGUUGGUGAGGUAACGGCUCACCAAGGCUUCGACGGGUAGCCGGCCUGAGAGGGCGACCGGCCACAUUGGGACUGAGAUACGGCCCAGACUCCUACGGGAGGCAGCAGUGGGGAAUAUUGCACAAUGGGCGCAAGCCUGAUGCAGCGACGCCGCGUGAGGGAUGGAGGCCUUCGGGUUGUAAACCUCUUUUGUUUGGGAGCAAGCCUUCGGGUGAGUGUACCUUUCGAAUAAGCGCCGGCUAACUACGUGCCAGCAGCCGCGGUAAUACGUAGGGCGCAAGCGUUAUCCGGAUUUAUUGGGCGUAAAGGGCUCGUAGGCGGCUCGUCGCGUCCGGUGUGAAAGUCCAUCGCUUAACGGUGGAUCUGCGCCGGGUACGGGCGGGCUGGAGUGCGGUAGGGGAGACUGGAAUUCCCGGUGUAACGGUGGAAUGUGUAGAUAUCGGAAAAAAAACA